UCCACUUCCUGCCUGGGGGAGGCACUUCGGGCCCUCGCCGGGAUUUCAGAAACCUGUUCGAGCCAUUCCUUUAUGGCUGAACGUUCUUAUUUAGUAAAUAUUUAUUUAGUUCUCUGAGGAUUCAGAACUAAUCACAGCCACUUCUCUUUAAUAAUAAAUGGUGAACUUCAAGUGCGGCACAAGUCAACCGACUAAUCAGUGCUCGCCUGAAGGUGCAAAACCAACAUGAAAGACCGAACAUUUCCUGUUCCAGCUCGCCGCGGCCGGGAAUAAACUUGAACCAGGUGUGGAGAAAAGCUCGCCAGCGCUGGUUCUCCAACCGCUCUCUGAAACAGCGCAGCGGGCGUUUUCAGUGAUGAGCUUGGAGUGCCCCUCUGUGGAAGAAGAUGAAUGCUACAGUUGCUUCCUUACAGUAAUUAGCGUGGUAGUAAGAAGAGGCCGUGGUGAAUGCCAACACAUCGCCCAAGACUCACAUUUUGCACAAGACUAAUGUGUUAGGAGAAACCUUAAAGACGAGUUGAUCCUGCCUCUGUGGGGUACUGAGAAGUAACCAAGGCCAAAGAUGGGAGUGAACAUACACUUCAUUUCUUGAGAACUAACUAGACACUUUAAAAUGUGAAGGGGACUCAAGACUCUGCCUGCCCAGACUUGUUUAUUUGUCAAAAAACAAUACCUGCCAAUCAGCGUCUUGCACAGAGCUUCAAUCACUCCAGACCAGCCAGGCCUCCCAAUGAGGACUCUGUGGUGCAAUUUCAGAAAGUAAGCUCACUUUGUUCUGAUACCCACAGCUUCCCCUUGCCUGAAUAUGGUAUUUUCUGAACUGAGAUACACUAUGGCAAAGGAUACAUGGAAUAUUGUAGGAAAAA
Molecule: long non-coding RNA, 866 nt
Filed under: Felis catus (domestic cat)
Lineage: Eukaryota; Metazoa; Chordata; Mammalia; Carnivora; Felidae
Description: lncRNA (ENSFCAG00000041038.2)
Source: RNAcentral